This 452-nucleotide ribosomal RNA is filed under the name uncultured Actinomycetes bacterium. Its description in RNAcentral is "bacterial SSU rRNA". It matches the Rfam family "Bacterial small subunit ribosomal RNA", at positions 355 to 798 of the family's 1533-position model. The record is from RNAcentral. Lineage: Bacteria; Bacillati; Actinomycetota; Actinomycetes.
UGGGGAAUCUUGCGCAAUGGGCGAAAGCCUGACGCAGCGACGCCGCGUGCGGGAAGAAGGCCUUCGGGUUGUAAACCGCUUUCAGGAGGGACGAAGCCACUCGGGUGAAUAGCCCAGAGGGUGACGGUACCUCCAGAAGAAGCCCCGGCUAACUACGUGCCAGCAGCCGCGGUAAUACGUAGGGGGCCAGCGUUGUCCGGAUUCAUUGGGCGUAAAGAGCGUGUAGGCGGCCAGGUAGGUCCGACGUGAAAACUGGAGGCUCAACCUCCAGCUGUCGUCGGAAACCCUCUGGCUAGAGUCCGGAAGAGGAGAGCGGAAUUCCUGGUGUAGCGGUGAAAUGCGGAGAUAUCAGGGAAGAACACCGAUGGGCGAAGGCAGCUCUCUGGGACGGUACUGACGCUGAGACGCGAAAGCGUGGGGAGCGAACAGGAUUAGAUACCCUGGUAGUCCAC